GGAGUAAAAAGCACUAUAAAAUACACCAGGACUUUGACUAAUGUGGGCCCUACAGCAACGUAUAUGGUUUCAGUAUCUUCUCAAACUCCAUCCGUGAAUAUCUUGGUUGAGCCAAAAUCACUUAGCUUCAGUGAACAAUAUGAAAAAAAGAGUUACACAGUGACAUUCACUGCAACUUCUAUGCCAUCUGGUACCAACAGCUUUGCUCGUCUGGAAUGGUCGAGCGGGAAACAUGUCAUUGGGAGUCCGAUAGCUUUCAGCUGGACAUAAACGAAAUCUUGAGAAGUUGGAUGAAUGACUAUUAUUUUACAAGACAUCAAGUGCCUGAAAUUUAUGUAUGAUGAACGUUUUUACAUUCCCCUUCUAAUGUUCCAAGUUCCAACAACUGAUCCAGCAAUAGUUAGCUGGGUUUGUAAUUUCUCUCUCAGAUGAUCAAGGGUCAAAGAAAAAUGAGGGAAAAAUAACUGCACAGAAAACCAAGCAAUUAAUUGCAUGUGAUGUUAAAAUGGAUUUCAGGC
This 518-nucleotide unclassified non-coding RNA is filed under the name Hevea brasiliensis (rubber tree). Lineage: Eukaryota; Viridiplantae; Streptophyta; Magnoliopsida; Malpighiales; Euphorbiaceae. The record is from RNAcentral.